GCUCCAGUGGCCUAGUGGUUAGAGCGUCCGCCUCGGAUGCGGGAGGUCGUGGGUUCGAUCCCCGGUCGAGUCA
Non-coding RNA from Potamilus streckersoni, 73 nucleotides. The record is from the annotation of a GenBank genome assembly. NCBI's taxonomy places the organism in Eukaryota, Metazoa, Mollusca, Bivalvia, Unionida, Unionidae.